Molecule: long non-coding RNA, 852 nt
Organism: Neofelis nebulosa (Clouded leopard)
Lineage: Eukaryota; Metazoa; Chordata; Mammalia; Carnivora; Felidae
Exons: 4
Source: RefSeq, a predicted model, not a curated record
AUUCCAUGCAAAUUUAUUGAGCACCUGUGUCAGGUCCUGAGCUAGGAUCUAAGACCACAAAAAUGGGUACCUUCAAAAAGCUCACAACCCAAAGGAAAUUAGAAAAAAUUAAAACACAAUGUCACCAGGGCUCUGAGAGUAUAAAGACAGACAUAUCAAAAUCUACUUCAAUUGAGCUCAGGAAGGUUUUGCAAGAGAGGUAACAUUUAAGCUGAAUCUCAAAGGACACUUGGGAACACUUCAGCACGUUUCAAGCAGAAGGAAACACAAGUGCAAAAGUACUGAGGAGAAUCAUCUGCUUCUAGACAGUGACUGAGGAGAGUAACCGAAACAGCGAAAAGCAAAAUCGUGAAAGCAAAACCUUGGAUGAGGGAGAACUACUGUAAUGUGAUCAAAUUGAUGUUUGAUAAAGAUUGACUAGCUCAAAACUUCAUCCUGUCCCUUCACUUCUCCAGCCACUGACAACUGCAUAAGUUUCCAUAUUCUGCUAAAGAACAGCACAAUUUCCACUGUGUCUUUGAAAGGCUAGAGACCAUAUAGACCUACGAGAAGAGCAACUACCAGAGCAGGAGCCCUGUUCUACAGGUUCUUCAUGCCAAUGGAAUGAAGUUUCCAAAUUAUUAGUAUUCUGCUUACAAGGUAUCAAUACCCUCUCUAUGAGUUGAAAAUAUCCUACUUUCCUAAUCCACCUUCUAUAAGGCCAGCCAGCUAUUUGUUAUUGAGUCAGGCAAUAUCUAACCCUCAGGUGUAUGUGAUAAUGUCUAAACCUCAAAGAUAAGUAGUGUCCUUAAAGAGUUCAAACCAUAUAAGCAAGCAAUUCUAAAACAAUAAAACAUGGUCCAUGUAAUACAG